RNAcentral lists this ribosomal RNA (429 nucleotides) under uncultured bacterium. RNAcentral describes it as "partial 16S ribosomal RNA". It matches the Rfam family "Bacterial small subunit ribosomal RNA", at positions 355 to 773 of the family's 1533-position model. The record is from RNAcentral.
UGGGGAAUUUUGGACAAUGGGCGAAAGCCUGAUCCAGCAAUGCCGCGUGUGUGAAGAAGGCCUUCGGGUUGUAAAGCACUUUUGUCCGGAAAGAAAUCCUUGGCUCUAAUACAGUCGGGGGAUGACGGUACCGGAAGAAUAAGCACCGGCUAACUACGUGCCAGCAGCCGCGGUAAUACGUAGGGUGCAAGCGUUAAUCGGAAUUACUGGGCGUAAAGCGUGCGCAGGCGGUUUGCUAAGACCGAUGUGAAAUCCCCGGGUCUCAACCUGGGAACUGCAUUGGUGACUGGGCAGGCUAGAGUAUGGCAGAGGGGGGUAGAAUUCCACGUGUGAGCAGUGAAAUGCGUAGAGAUGUGGAGGAAUACCGAUGGCGAAGGCAGCCCCCUGGCCAAGUACUGACGCUCAUGCACGAAAGCGUGGGGAGCAAAC